AUGCAUUACAAGCAGCACUGAGCGGAGUAAGUCCUGAUUAGUACUGGGAUGGGAGACUGCUUUGGAAGACCAGCAGCUGUGCAUGUUUCUCCAAGUAGAGCUGGAGCUGUGUCAGGAAGGGA
Molecule: long non-coding RNA, 122 nt
Organism: Thalassophryne amazonica
Lineage: Eukaryota; Metazoa; Chordata; Actinopteri; Batrachoidiformes; Batrachoididae
Exons: 3
Source: RefSeq, a predicted model, not a curated record